UCUACUUCGCAGCCACCACAAGGACUUACUUUUGAAAAAACACUAGAUUCUACAUUAACUGAACGUGAGAAGAUCCUGCUGAGUCAUUUGACUCAAACUAAAUUAAGCUUAAAGCGUUUGGCAGUCGAAAUGCGAACUGUGAGGAAGACACAAAUAAAUUGUUUGUAGCUUAUAACGAUAUUAGCAGGGUCCGCACUGACAUGCCUAAUAGAAAUAAUAAUGAUGACAUUCAAGUUGUUGAUGAGAUAUUUUAUCCUGUUUUGUCUUUGCCCAAUGAAAUCGAUUUCUUUUUAUAUGAAAAUGAUUUAUGUAACUUUUUGGAGCAGCCAGUAGUAUAUGUUAGUGGUUAUUUAGCUGCAAAAUUAUUAGAUAGAACGAAAUGUCAGAAAUGUAAAGAUUCGUUAAAAGUUGAUAAACCAGUAGACGACUUAAACAAUUAUAUUAGUUUUAAAGAAUGUUGGAAAGAUUCGAGCUCAUUGUGCUUUCCUUCUAAACCUUUAUGUCAUUUUGUAAACAAGAGCCAAAUUCAUUUCAAAGCUAUUAUAUCUCAGGACUUACAAAUUAAAAAUAUAAAGCAGUAGACUAUUUGCAAUUAAGUAAUGAGCAUUUUAUAGAAAAAAACAAAUCAAUUAAUUCAUAAUCUUUGUUUAUUAUUCAUUAGAAAAUCAUGUAAAGACAAAAAUAUAUAGAUAUAUUAGAAUAAUGUGAUCAAGACAAAGCUUAGAUAACAAUUUUUAAGAUUCUUGUUGAAUAUUUAUAUUUAUAUUGUCAGUACUAUAAAACAAUGUUUGUAGAAAACAUACAUAUUGGCAGUUCUUCUUGACAUCUAAUGUCUUUGCAAUGUUUUUUGUUUUCCAAGUU
Long non-coding RNA from Melitaea cinxia (Glanville fritillary), 861 nucleotides. RefSeq lists it as uncharacterized. Lineage: Eukaryota; Metazoa; Arthropoda; Insecta; Lepidoptera; Nymphalidae. The transcript has 2 exons. The record is from RefSeq and is a predicted model, not a curated record.